RNAcentral lists this ribosomal RNA (565 nucleotides) under Staphylococcus epidermidis. RNAcentral describes it as "bacterial SSU rRNA". It matches the Rfam family "Bacterial small subunit ribosomal RNA", at positions 152 to 704 of the family's 1533-position model. Lineage: Bacteria; Bacillati; Bacillota; Bacilli; Caryophanales; Staphylococcaceae. The record is from RNAcentral.
GGAAACCGGAGCUAAUACCGGAUAAUAUAUUGAACCGCAUGGUUCAAUAGUGAAAGACGGUUUUGCUGUCACUUAUAGAUGGAUCCGCGCCGCAUUAGCUAGUUGGUAAGGUAACGGCUUACCAAGGCAACGAUGCGUAGCCGACCUGAGAGGGUGAUCGGCCACACUGGAACUGAGACACGGUCCAGACUCCUACGGGAGGCAGCAGUAGGGAAUCUUCCGCAAUGGGCGAAAGCCUGACGGAGCAACGCCGCGUGAGUGAUGAAGGUCUUCGGAUCGUAAAACUCUGUUAUUAGGGAAGAACAAAUGUGUAAGUAACUAUGCACGUCUUGACGGUACCUAAUCAGAAAGCCACGGCUAACUACGUGCCAGCAGCCGCGGUAAUACGUAGGUGGCAAGCGUUAUCCGGAAUUAUUGGGCGUAAAGCGCGCGUAGGCGGUUUUUUAAGUCUGAUGUGAAAGCCCACGGCUCAACCGUGGAGGGUCAUUGGAAACUGGAAAACUUGAGUGCAGAAGAGGAAAGUGGAAUUCCAUGUGUAGCGGUGAAAUGCGCAGAGAUAUGGAGG